UAAACAAAACCUAAUUGAUAGGAUUACAAUGAUAAUGUAAUUAAGUAUUUACUUGUUUAAUGUG
RNAcentral lists this transfer RNA (64 nucleotides) under Trichuris discolor. Its description in RNAcentral is "tRNA-Ile". Lineage: Eukaryota; Metazoa; Nematoda; Enoplea; Trichinellida; Trichuridae. The record is from RNAcentral.